AGUGAACGCUGGCGGUAGGCCUAACACAUGCAAGUCGAACGGCAGCACAGUAAGAGCUUGCUCUUACGGGUGGCGAGUGGCGGACGGGUGAGGAAUACAUCGGAAUCUACUUUUUCGUGGGGGAUAACGUAGGGAAACUUACGCUAAUACCGCAUACGACCUACGGGUGAAGGCAGGGGAUCUUCGGACCUUGCGCGAUUGAAUGAGCCGAUGUCGGAUUAGCUAGUUGGCGGGGUAAAGGCCCACCAAGGCGACGAUCCGUAGCUGGUCUGAGAGGAUGAUCAGCCACACUGGAACUGAGACACGGUCCAGACUCCUACGGGAGGCAGCAGUGGGGAAUAUUGGACAAUGGGCGCAAGCCUGAUCCAGCCAUACCGCGUGGGUGAAGAAGGCCUUCGGGUUGUAAAGCCCUUUUGUUGGGAAAGAAAAGCAGCAGGUUAAUACCCCGCUGUUCUGACGGUACCCAAAAAAUAAGCACCGGCUAACUUCGUG
Molecule: ribosomal RNA, 492 nt
Filed under: uncultured bacterium
Lineage: Bacteria
Description: partial 16S ribosomal RNA
Rfam family: Bacterial small subunit ribosomal RNA
Source: RNAcentral